UUGCGCCUGCAGUGGAUGCAGCGGCGCCCGAUGAUUAUGUCUUGCAGGCGACUGGCGGCCGUAUCAUCUCGUGAUUCGCAAUUUUGCGAAUUCAAAAUUCUCC
Molecule: small RNA, 103 nt
Filed under: bovine gut metagenome
Also listed under: 1 other name
Description: RT-5 RNA
Rfam family: RT-5 RNA
About the family: Clostridium (Firmicutes). Environment (Cow rumen (57))
Source: RNAcentral